Molecule: ribosomal RNA, 482 nt
Filed under: uncultured bacterium
Lineage: Bacteria
Description: partial 16S ribosomal RNA
Rfam family: Bacterial small subunit ribosomal RNA
Source: RNAcentral
AUUGAACGCUGGCGGCAUGCCUUGCACAUGCGAGUCGAACGGUAACGGGCCUUCGGGUGCCGACGAGUGGCGAACGGGUGAGUAAUACAUCGGAACGUGCCCGAUCGUGGGGGAUAACGAGGCGAAAGCUUUGCUAAUACCGCAUACGAUCUACGGAUGAAAGCAGGGGACCGCAAGGCCUUGCGCGGACGGAGCGGCCGAUGGCAGAUUAGGUAGUUGGUGGGAUAAAAGCUUACCAAGCCGACGAUCUGUAGCUGGUCUGAGAGGAUGAUCAGCCACACUGGGACUGAGACACGGCCCAGACUCCUACGGGAGGCAGCAGUGGGGAAUUUUGGACAAUGGGCGCAAGCCUGAUCCAGCCAUGCCGCGUGCAGGAUGAAGGCCUUCGGGUUGUAAACUGCUUUUGUACGGAACGAAAAGCCUUCUUUUAAUACAGGAGGGUCAUGACGGUACCGUAAGAAUAAGCACCGGCUAACUACGUG